ACGAACCCUGUGGGAGAGCGCGCUGCGCGACGCCCGACCGGUCGAUGGUCGGGAGAAUGUCGAGGCAGUGCCGCCGAAGGAGCAACCGGCCCCGGUAAACUCUCAGGCACCAGGGACCGCAGGGGAAUG
This 129-nucleotide non-coding RNA is filed under the name Tistrella mobilis. RNAcentral describes it as "Glycine sequence". It matches the Rfam family "Glycine riboswitch aptamer". Rfam says of the family: This family represents the bacterial glycine riboswitch. Glycine riboswitches usually consist of two metabolite-binding aptamers domains with similar structures in tandem. The aptamers cooperatively bind glycine to regulate the expression of downstream genes. Lineage: Bacteria; Pseudomonadati; Pseudomonadota; Alphaproteobacteria; Geminicoccales; Geminicoccaceae. RNAcentral also lists the same sequence under 1 other name. The record is from RNAcentral.